GGGAGAAUUGAUGAUGCAUUAUCCAUAGACAUCACUGAAUGUAAGAUGAUGAUCAAUAUACAUCAUGCACUACCAUCUGAUCUCUA
Lolium rigidum is the source of this 86-nucleotide small nucleolar RNA. Lineage: Eukaryota; Viridiplantae; Streptophyta; Magnoliopsida; Poales; Poaceae. The record is from RefSeq and is a predicted model, not a curated record.